This is a small nuclear RNA of 140 nucleotides. Its record names the gene U1. It matches the Rfam family "U1 spliceosomal RNA". From Rfam's summary of the family: U1 is a small nuclear RNA (snRNA) component of the spliceosome (involved in pre-mRNA splicing). The record is from Ensembl.
AAACAAACUGUAGAGGCUAGACUAAUCAGAAGGCGUAACUGUCUAGAAUAACUGUAGACAACCUCUGCGAACUCCCCAAAUGUGGGAAUCUUGAUUGCAUAAUUUCUGGUAGUGGGGGACUGCGUUCGCGCUCUCCCCUG